RNAcentral lists this ribosomal RNA (547 nucleotides) under uncultured bacterium. RNAcentral describes it as "bacterial SSU rRNA". It matches the Rfam family "Bacterial small subunit ribosomal RNA", at positions 70 to 611 of the family's 1533-position model. The record is from RNAcentral.
UUUGGUUUGCUUGCAAACCAAAGCUGGCGACCGGCGCACGGGUGAGUAACACGUAUCCAACCUGCCUCAUACUCGGGGAUAGCCUCUCGAAAGAAAGAUUAAUAUCCGAUAGCAUAUAUUUCCCGCAUGGAUUUUAUAUUAAAGAAAUUCGGUAUGAGAUGGGGAUGCGUUCCAUUAGUUUGUUGGCGGGGUAACGGCCCACCAAGACCACGAUGGAUAGGGGUUCUGAGAGGAAGGUCCCCCACAUUGGAACUGAGACACGGUCCAAACUCCUACGGGAGGCAGCAGUGAGGAAUAUUGGUCAAUGGACGCGAGUCUGAACCAGCCAAGUAGCGUGAAGGAUGACUGCCCUAUGGGUUGUAAACUUCUUUUAUAUGGGAAUAAAGUGGUCCACGUGUGGAUUUUUGUAUGUACCAUAUGAAUAAGGAUCGGCUAACUCCGUGCCAGCAGCCGCGGUAAUACGGAGGAUCCGAGCGUUAUCCGGAUUUAUUGGGUUUAAAGGGAGCGUAGGCGGAUUGUUAAGUCAGUUGUGAAAGUUUGCGGCUCA